AACGAACGCUGGCGGCAUGCCUAACACAUGCAAGUCGAACGAGACCUUCGGGUCUAGUGGCGCACGGGUGCGUAACGCGUGGGAACCUGCCCUUAGGUUCGGAAUAACUCCCCGAAAGGGGUGCUAAUACCGGAUAAUGUCUACGGACCAAAGAUUUAUCGCCUUUGGAUGGGCCCGCGUUGGAUUAGCUAGUUGGUAGGGUAAAAGCCUACCAAGGCGACGAUCCAUAGCUGGUCUGAGAGGAUGAUCAGCCACACUGGGACUGAGACACGGCCCAGACUCCUACGGGAGGCAGCAGUGGGGAAUAUUGGACAAUGGGCGAAAGCCUGUUCCAGCAAUGCCGCGUGAGUGAUGAAGGCCUUAGGGUUGUAAAGCUCUUUUACCCGGGAUGAUAAUGACAGUACCGGGAGAAUAAGCUCCGGCUAACUCCGU
RNAcentral lists this ribosomal RNA (432 nucleotides) under uncultured bacterium. RNAcentral's name for it is "partial 16S ribosomal RNA". It matches the Rfam family "Bacterial small subunit ribosomal RNA", at positions 29 to 506 of the family's 1533-position model. The record is from RNAcentral.